This 493-nucleotide ribosomal RNA is filed under the name uncultured bacterium. Its description in RNAcentral is "bacterial SSU rRNA". It matches the Rfam family "Bacterial small subunit ribosomal RNA", at positions 30 to 516 of the family's 1533-position model. The record is from RNAcentral.
AUUGAACGCUGGCGGCAUGCUUUACACCUGCAAGUCGAACGGACUUGAGGGGCUUGCUCCUUAGGUUUGUGGCGAACGGGUGAGUAAUGCAUCGGAACGUACCGUGUAAUGGGGGAUAACCCGGCGAAAGUCGGAUUAAUACCGCCUACGCUUUUUGGAGGAAAGCCGGGGAUUUUUGGACCCUGCGUUAUACGAGCGGCCGAUGUUGGAUUAGCUAGUUGGUGAGGUAAAGGCUCACCAAGGCAACGAUCCGUAGCGGGUUUGAGAGGAUGAUUCGCCCCCCUGGGAAUGAGACCCGGCCCCGACUCCUUCGGGAGGCAGCCGUGGGGAAUUUUGGACAAUGGACGCAAGUUUGAUCCCGCCCUGCCGCGUGAGUGAAGAAGGCCUUCGGGUUGUAAAGCUUUUUUGUUUGGGAGCAAAUCCUGUUCCCUAAUACUGAAUGGGGAUGAGAGUACCCGAAGAAUAAGGACCGGCUAAAUACGUGCCCGCCGCC